CCUACGGGUGGCUGCAGUGAGGAAUAUUGGUCAAUGGACGCGAGUCUGAACCAGCCAAGUAGCGUGAAGGAUGACUGCCCUAUGGGUUGUAAACUUCUUUUAUAAAGGAAUAAAACGAGGCACGUGUGCCUUUUUGUAUGUACUUUAUGAAUAAGGAUCGGCUAACUCCGUGCCAGCAGCCGCGGUAAUACGGAGGAUCCGAGCGUUAUCCGGAUUUAUUGGGUUUAAGGGGAGCGUAGAUGGGUUGUUAAGUCAGUUGUGAAAGUUUGCGGCUCAACCGUAAAAUUGCAAUUGAUACUGGCAGUCUUGAGUACAGUUGAGGGAGGCGGAAUUCGUGGUGUAGCGGUGAAAUGCUUAGAUAUCACGAAGAACCCCGAUUGCGAAGGCAGCUUACUAAACUGUGACUGACAUUGAUGCUCGAAAGUGUGGGUAUCAAACAGGAUUAGAUACCCGAGUAGUC
This 460-nucleotide ribosomal RNA is filed under the name uncultured bacterium. RNAcentral describes it as "partial 16S ribosomal RNA". It matches the Rfam family "Bacterial small subunit ribosomal RNA", at positions 338 to 795 of the family's 1533-position model. The record is from RNAcentral.